This 1427-nucleotide long non-coding RNA is filed under the name Monodelphis domestica (gray short-tailed opossum). RNAcentral describes it as "lncRNA (ENSMODG00000043901.1)". Lineage: Eukaryota; Metazoa; Chordata; Mammalia; Didelphimorphia; Didelphidae. The record is from RNAcentral.
UUCCUGCACAGGAUGUUGGGCUCUAAUUGCACCCUCCAUCCCAAUUUCCUCUUAUCUUCUUCAACAAAUUCCCUUCCCUCUGUCAAUUUCCAUUCUCUCUAAUUUUCAAUUCUCUACAUCUCUCCCACCCUCAAAAAACCUACACUUGAUUCUACCACCCAAUUUCAUUAUCAUUCUAUAUAUAUCCUCUCCUUCCUUUCUCUUCAAAAGUCCUGGGGGGAAAUCAUUUCUAUUCAGUGCCUCCUCUUACUCUUUUUUCUUAUGCCCUCUCCCCCAAAUCCUCUUUGAUUCCUAAUUGCCUUAUUACCAUCUAGGGCACAGCACCCUCUCAUUUACUCAGUUUUAAACCUUGGUAUCCUCUUUAACUCCUCCUUUAUUCCAUAUAUCCAUUCCAUCACUAAAUCCAUAAUUUGGACCCACUUGCCUACUUUGUUGUUAUUUGUAGUUCAGACUCUCUUGCCUACUUUGUUCUUCAGUCAUUUCAGUCCUGACCCAGUUUGGGGCUUUCUUGGCAAAGAUACUGGAGUGGUUUUCCAUUUCCUUUUCCAGCUCAUUUACAGAUGAGGAAGCUGAGGCAAACUGGAUUAAGUGACUUGUCCAGGGUCACACAGCCAGUAAACUAUCCUGUGCUACCUAGCUGCACAUCUCUUGCCUGUACUAUUACAAUAAUAGCCUUUUAAUUGAUAACCCAGUUUAAAGCCUCUCCCCUAUCCAACCUAUCCUCCACUCUUCAAGAAAAAGAGAUUUUUACUAAAGUUUAGGUCUGACUAUAUCACCCUUCUCCCCAACAAACUGAAGUAGCUCCCUAUUACCUCCAAGAUCAAAUAUAAAACCCUCUGUUUAGCAUUCAAGGCUCUUCACAACCUGGCCCCUUCUCAUCUUUCCAGUUUUCUCAUACUUGAUUCUCUUCCAUGUACUCAACAAUCAAGUGAUAAUGGCUUACUGUUCCUCAAACACUCCAUCAAAACAUUCCAUCCCCAAGCUUUACAUGAUUGCCUAUCAUACCUGCCAUGCUCUCUCCCUUUACCAAAACCGUUGUCUACUUGGUUUCUCUUAAAGCUUGGGACUCCUUUGGUGCGAUUACAACGGCCUUCUGCUAAGGAAGAUUUGAGCAGAGGGGAGAGGACUAAAGCUAAGAAAUGCCUCUCAGAAGUGACCCUCUUAGACCUUUGGAAGCCAUAAUUAUGGGAAGUCCCCAUAGGCAUUGGCAACAGUGAGCCAGAGGACGAGGGACAAAAAGGCCUUGAUCAAAAUGGAUAAUGCACACAUCCUAAAGAAAGUUAACUCUCUAACUUUAUACCAUAGGACAGAGGUUCUUAGCUCUUUUUUUGUAUCACGGACCACUUAGGUACUCUGGUGAAGCCUAAGAAGAGUGUUUUUUUAAAUACAUCAAACAAAAUAAAGGAAUUACAAAGGGAACGAAUUCA